Choloepus didactylus (southern two-toed sloth) is the source of this 1392-nucleotide long non-coding RNA. RefSeq lists it as uncharacterized. Lineage: Eukaryota; Metazoa; Chordata; Mammalia; Pilosa; Megalonychidae. The transcript has 2 exons. The record is from RefSeq and is a predicted model, not a curated record.
GCGUGUUUGGCUGGACGCCCCAUCUUGCAAGAUUGUAAAUAAAUUCUUUUCUCCUCCAGAACCGAGAGAGCGUUUAUUCCCUUACAGGCACCGCUUUAUUUCCGACAAGGUGAAGUAGCAUGGUGCCUGCAAAUUCCUUUCAAAUGGUUCGGGGAAAAGAUAAGUGAUAGAUAGAUGAUAGUCAGAUGGAUGGACGGAUGAUAGAUGAUAGAUAUAUAGAUGAUAAAUAAAUGAUAGAUCAUAGAUGAUAGAGAAACAGAAGUGCAAAUAAAGAAAAAUAAUUCAUCAAGGUGUAGGGCCUAUCACUGUCCUAUUCUAACUACUUUUCUGAAGUUUUGAAAUUUUUCAAAAUAAAAAUCAGAGGGAGAGAAUCGCUCAGCAAUGGCCCUAAACAUUUUGCCCACAUCCUCCAGGAAGGUCUGGGAUGGAGGUUGAGGGCCAUAAAUGCAGAUGCCUUUGAUCAAAAUAAACAGACAGCAGUUCUGGGAAUGGCUGCAUUCGCUGAAGUCCAUUCACAUUAGAAGACUCACAAGAAGCUGCUGUGGAAACUGACUGCUGUGGAAACUGUUUUUACAGACAUUUUCAACGCCAUUAAAUACAAAGCUGUGCAUGUGAAAACCCUGGAGUGGUAACCCAGGACAAGGUGGAAACAGGUUUGAGGUAUCCCAUCUCCACUUCAGAGACUGAAAACUGGGCCACUUAUUACCUCGGGUAACACCUAAAUGUCAAAAGGCAAGGACGGAGCCAGAUAGCAAAGCUAGCCCUUGAAUACAAAUGGGAAGAGGCUUUAAAAAUAAAGCCAGGGUUCAGGUUCCAAUACUCCAAAUGCCAAUCAAAAGACUCAUUUGUUUUUUAAAUAUGUGGCUGAGAGUUGAGAAUUGCAUCUGAAAGGCCGUUUUCCAGAAAUCCUCCUGUAGCACUGAGAUGCCAUUUGUCUCUGCUUUGGUUUAGUGGGUUUUUUUUGUUGUUGUUGUUUUGUUUUGUUUUUUAAGAAUAAAGGGAUAGCACUAUUGUCUGAAGUGUUUAAAACAGGCUUAUAUUCCUGACAUUCUAUUUUUUUUUUUAAUUUUUCAGAAUAAAAAUUGGGGUGAAAGAAAAAGAAUUGCUCAGACAGGGCCCUGAGAAUAUCUGCCGAAAGUGUUCAGAGAGAGAAAUCAUAAAAUCUCCAGCCACACUUCUGGAUUUAUCUAUUUUAUUCUCUGGUUUCGCCCACUGUUGUCUUAUAUACUUGGAGGUUAUAUUGAUAAUGGCAUAGAAUAUGGUUUCUAAUGAAGUAUUUCUGUCUGUUUUGUUCCCUGCUGUAUCCUUGAAACCUAGAACAAUGCCUAGCAUAUUAUAGGCAUUUAAUAUAUUUUGUUACAUGAAUAAAUAAAUAUAUGUUCAUAAUUGUUA